This 554-nucleotide long non-coding RNA is filed under the name Setaria italica (foxtail millet). RNAcentral's name for it is "long non-coding RNA (SITA_LNC007489)". The record is from RNAcentral. Lineage: Eukaryota; Viridiplantae; Streptophyta; Magnoliopsida; Poales; Poaceae.
CUUCCUAGAAGAUCACAACUGCCUCGAAAAGUUAGAAAUAAAAGAAAGCCCAAGUUUAAAAUUGCUACAGUUGCAUUCCUGCACGGCACUGGAAGAGUUGGCGGUUCAUGAUUGUGAAUCGCUCCCCGCACUAGAGGGGAAUUUCACCUGCCUCAAGAGAUUAGAGCUGUCGUACAACUCAGGGUUGGAAUCGCUACAGCUGCGUUCCUGCACAACGCUGGAAGAGUUGACGGUUGAGUCUUGUGAAUCGCUCGCCACAUUAGAGGGGAAUUUCACCUGCCUCAAGAGAUUAGAGCUGUCGUACAACUCAUGGUUGGAAUCGCUACAGCUGCGUUCCUGCACAACGCUGGAAGAGUUGACGGUUGAGUCUUGUGAAUCGCUCGCCACAUUAGAGGGGAAUUUCACCUGCCUCCAAAAAUUAGAUCUGUUUGACAACCCAAGGCUAAAAUCACUACAGCUGCGUUCCUGCACAGCGCUGGAAGAGUUGACGGUUCGGUCUUGUGAAUCGCUCGCUGCACUAGAGGACUUUUGGUCCCUCAGAUGUCUCAGGUAUU